UUUAUUGGGCGUAAAGCGAGCGCAGGCGGUUAGAUAAGUCUGAAGUUAAAGGCAGUGGCUCAACCAUUGUAGGCUUUGGAAACUGUUUAACUUGAGUGCAGAAGGGGAGAGUGGAAUUCCAUGUGUAGCGGUGAAAUGCGUAGAUAUAUGGAGGAACACCGGUGGCGAAAGCGGCUCUCUGGUCUGUAACUGACGCUGAGGCUCGAAAGCGUGGGGAGCGAACAGGAUUAGAUACCCUGGUAGUCCACGCCGUAAACGAUGAGUGCUAGGUGUUAGGUCCUUUCCGGGACUUAGUGCCGCAGCUAACGCAUUAAGCACUCCGCCUGGGGAGUACGACCGCAAGGUUGAAACUCAAAGGAAUUGACGGGGGCCCGCACAAGCGGUGGAGCAUGUGGUUUAAUUCGAAGCAACGCGAAGAACCUUACCAGGUCUUGACAUCCCUCUGACCGCUCUAGAGAUAG
RNAcentral lists this ribosomal RNA (461 nucleotides) under uncultured bacterium. RNAcentral's name for it is "bacterial SSU rRNA". It matches the Rfam family "Bacterial small subunit ribosomal RNA", at positions 550 to 1009 of the family's 1533-position model. The record is from RNAcentral.